Oncorhynchus keta (chum salmon) is the source of this 3826-nucleotide long non-coding RNA. RefSeq lists it as uncharacterized. The transcript is spliced from 4 exons. The record is from RefSeq and is a predicted model, not a curated record. NCBI's taxonomy places the organism in Eukaryota, Metazoa, Chordata, Actinopteri, Salmoniformes, Salmonidae.
UGUGUGUGUGUGUAUGUGUGUGUGUGUGUGUGUGUGUGUGUGUGUGUGUGUGUGUGUGUGUGUGUGUGUGUGUGUGUGUGUGUGUGUGUGAAUUGGCCUCAACAAGGGCCUUUUGUGUCUUGUUAUUGCAUCAGAUAGUGUGUCCGUACUACGGGGUACAAAGAGCCCCUAUCAACCUAGCUACUGUCCUCAGGCUCAGCUCUCACCUGUGGGCCAUUAGGAGAGAUGACUGGAGCCAAGCACAACUCAGUGAGGUAUCCUAUACAAACCGCAGCUAAACCCAAAGCUAGUGGUUUAAUAACUGCUUCAGCCGUUAGCAUUGGCCCUUUUGCCCUUCCUAUGAGGCUUCACCUCUAUUCCCCUAAUGGACUUGAACUCAGUCCUUUCUUCAAUGACAUUCUCAAUCCUAUUGUAUUCUGCAGGAGGGUGACUGGGGGCAGGGCAUCUAACGUGUCAUUUUUCCUCGUGUCGAUACGUGAUCCGUCAGGGUCCCUGUGUUCCAAGGCCUUCCUUACGUUAGAUCGUUUUCAAUAGCCAAGCCUGGUGAAAAGGCUGGCGUGUCCUCUUUCAUGGGAACUCCUGCGCCUGCAACCACACCAGCAUAAUACAGUAGCAUAAUGGUGGUGAAUGGAACCACUAUUACAUUAUGGCUCUAUCAAACACUGACCCAUGAUAUGACUAUAUUGUGAUAGAAGUGCUUAACUUAACAACAUGCUGGUCCUCUUUUAUGGACCUGUUUUAUUUCAAUAACUCAGGUCUUACCCAGGCAGGGAGCUAGGCUAGGAGGUCUCAGGUCUUACCCAGGCAGGGAGCUAGGCUAGAAGGUCUCAGGUCUUACCCAGGCAGGGAGCUAGGCUAGAAGGUCUCAGGUCUUACCCAGGCAGGGAGCUAGGCUAGAAGGUCUCAGGUCUUACCCAGGCAGGGAGCUAGGCUAGAAGGUCUCAGGUCUUACCCAGGCAGGGAGCUAGGCUAGAAGGUCUCAGGUCUUACCCAGGCAGGGAGCUAGGCUAGAAGGUCUCAGGUCUUACCCAGGCAGGGAGCUAGGCUAGAAGGUCUCAGGUCUUACCCAGGCAGGGAGCUAGGCUAGGAGGUCUCAGGUCUUACCCAGGCAGGGAGCUAGGCUAGAAGGUCUCAGGUCUUACCCAGGCAGGGAGCUAGGCUAGGAGGUCUCAGGUCUUACCCAGGCAGGGAGCUAGGCUAGAAGGUCUCAGGUCUUACCCAGGCAGGGAGCUAGGCUAGAAGGUCUCAGGUCUUACCCAGGCAGGGAGCUAGGCUAGAAGGUCUCAGGUCUUACCCAGGCAGGGAGCUAGGCUAGAAGGUCUCAGGUCUUACCCAGGCAGGGAGCUAGGCUAGAAGGUCUCAGGUCUUACCCAGGCAGGGAGCUAGGCUAGAAGGUCUCAGGUCUUACCCAGGCAGGGAGCUAGGCUAGAAGGUCUCAGGUCUUACCCAGGCAGGGAGCUAGGCUAGAAGGUACUCAGCCCUGCCACUGAAUCUGCACUUUCUUUUCACUUGCAGCAGAGUCUCUUGAAUAGCCAUUAUAUUGUAUUUAAUAUGUUAUGUUGUAAUGUGACAUACGUUUUCUUCAGAUUUAUUUAAAUUUGAACCCUUUUUUAAAUUCAUUAACAUGCUUCUCUUUUACGUGAUGUCAAGUCAUUUUAAUUGCUACAACCAUUUUUAUUUUACAUUAUUGAACCUUUAUUUAUUUAGGCAAGUCAAUUAAGAACAAAUUCUUAUUUACAAUGACAACCUAGGAACAGUGGGUUAACUGCCUUGUUCAGGAGCAGAAAACAGAUUUUAUUCCCUGUCAGCUCGGGGAUUUGAUCUAGCAGCCUUUCGGUUACUGGCCCAACACUCUAACCACUAGGCUACCUGCCUCCCCAAAAUAUAGUAAUUGACCACCAUUCUUUUAGGGAGAAUUAUAAAGUAUUAUAUUUUUUAGGAGGGGCCAUUGAAACCUGAUAGCCAGGAGGGGUGAAGGUGUCGAUUUCGCUUUUUGCAGCUUUAGAGGGCUUGACAUGACAUUUGUCUUUUCUCCUGCCCUUCCAAGGACAUGACACCAUCAUAUCCUCAUUCCACCUCUCUGUGAAAAAUGGUCAAAUAGCUCUCCAAUGUCAAAGCUUUUGAAUGUUCCGUUUUAGUACUGCAUCUAUACAAGUGAAUACCAGGGUUGUGUUGACAUGAAUGCUGGUAGGAGUGUGAGACUGAGAAGUGGGGAAGAGGUGGGAGGGGUGUGUUGUGAGGGUGCUGGGUGUGUAAUGUGUACGCAUAUGCAUGUAUGAGUGUGGUGUGGUGUGUGGGUGUUUGUGCGUCAGAUUUUUGUUGACUAUCUUGAUGUGUGCUGGGGGUGGGGUUGGUUUGUGUAGCGGGAUGGCGUGUGUGUGUGUGUGCGCGUGUAUGUGUGUGUGUCAGGUGCACCCCCUCCAGCUGGAGCAGAUGGAAUGCCUGCACACGCCGUGGCAUUACAUCAGCAAGACAAUUAGUUCAGUAACCUGACACAGCUCUCUCUUCUUCCUUCCACUCUGUCUCUUUCUCUGUCGCUCUCUCUCUGUCGCUCUCUCUCUGUCGCUCUCUCUCUGUCGCUCUCUCUCUCUCUAUCUCUCCAUCUCUCUUCUCUCUCUCUUUCCACACACACUCUCUCUUUUCCUCUCUCUCUCCCCUCUUUUUCUCUUCCCUCUCUCUCUCCCUCCCUCCCUCUCACUCACUCUCUCUCUACCUCCCUCUCAAUCUCCCUCCUCCCUCCCUCCCUCCCUCAAUCUCUCUCUUCCUCCCUCUCAAUCUCUCUCUUCUUCCCUCUCAAUCUCUCGCCCUCCCUCUCCAUCUCUCUCUUUCUCUCUCCCUUUCAAUCUCCCUCUCAAUCUCUCUCCCUCCCUCUCUAUCUCUCUCCCUCCCGCUCUAUCUCUCUCCUGGAGAGGGGGAAGUGGUGUGUUGUGUUGAGGUCGAUUAGGCAGCAGACCCGGAAAGGAAACAUCUCCCUUCCCUGAACACACGCUUCACUCCUCUUCACACACACACACACACACGCACACACACACGCACACACACACACACACACACACACACACACACACACACACACACACACACACACACACACACACACACACACACACACACACACACACACACACACACACACACACACACACACACACACACACACUCUCUCUCUCCUCACCCGCCAUGCAAAGCACUGCCAGCUAGGGACUGAUUAGGGGGAGCAGGUCGAUAAAAAAAGAGAGAAUAGAGAAAGGAUGAAAAAAGAGGAAAAGAACCUGACAGGCAUGCUAAUAGGGGCUGGUCGGUGUUCAGUCAAAGCAAUUAGAUCAGCGUGAAACACUGGCAGAGGGUUGGGAGGGUUGAAGUCAGGCGACGGUGUUGGCAGAGAUGGAUGUUUUCUCAUGCAUUGCAUACCAUGCCCAUGUAUGUAAAUAUAACUUCAUGAAGAGGGCUCUUGUACAUGUGUGCUCUCUCUUUACUUUGCCAGUGAAUGCAGGAAUAGAUCUUUUGAUACGGCCCCUUUUUAAACAGAUCUCACAUUUUAAUUGAUGUGUAGAUAUAUGAUGUGUAGUUAACGUGUUUAUUGUGUCAAUGAUCAUGUCAUAUCUCAACAUGUUAUUGUGUUGUGUCAUAUUUUGUACAUUAUCUGCUCAGACAGAGACUAUCCAAUGGGCACACAUUGGUUGAAUCAACGUUGUUUCCACGUCAUUUCAAUGAAAUUACAUUGAAGCAACAUAGACUUGACAUUCAAUUGACUUCUGUGCCCAGUGGGUAUAUUCUGCAUAGAAUAAAACCUUGCCAUCCAAUACACAUCCUAAACUUAUCCCUG